CAGGACAAGAGGAGGAUGCAUAAAGUUUAGAAUGGCUGCACAAAGCGGUGGUGUUUCCCAACAUGGCAGCGUGUGACUGACUUCAUGGCCUCAUCUCCAGAGGAAGGUUCUGAGCAGGGAAUGAAGACAUCUCUCAGGGCUCAUCAGAAGCAGGAUGAAUGAACACAUGAAGCUUCCUUUUGGAGACUUCCAGAGGAAUGGGCCCUGGCCAGGGCACCUGCUCACAGCCUUCCUUCUGUGCUUCCAACUCCAACUGACACCUGCUGAACUAACCAUCACUCCAAUCCCAUCCAGACCAGUAGAAGGGGAAAACAUCACCCUCUUCGUCCAGGGCUUUAUUGGAGAAGAUCUCAUGUCCUUCAACUGGUUCCGAGGGAGUACCACAGAUCUGGCCCAACAGAUCCUCACCUUUGUAUCCAUGUCUGGCACCCAGUCAAUGGGGAAGGCCUACACUGGGAGAGAGAGAGCAGAGGCUGAUGGCUCCCUGCAUAUUUCCAGCUCCCACCUCAAUGACUCAGGCAUCUAUACUAUUCGCCAGAUCUUCUUUCCAACAGACUCAGGGUCAAAUAUGGUGUCUACAAAUGUCUACUUGCCUGUCUAUGAUGGUCCAGAUCCUCCUGUGCUCCGUCCCGAGGGUUCAGACUUUGUCGUGGGUUCCAACCUCACCCUGUCCUGCUUCGCCAGCUCUAAUCCGGCAGCUCACUACAUUUGGUGGGUCAAUGGGACUGCCGGGCCCUCUGGCCAGCAGCUCUUCAUCCCAAACAUCUCGGGUGGAAAGUCGGAAGUCUAUGCUUGCCAUGCAACCAAUCCCGACUCUGGCCUCCACAGCACAGCAGAAAUAGCAGUCAGUAUAUCAGAGACACUGACCCAGCCAGGUGUUCUGGUCAAUAACUCAGGCCCAGUUGAGAACAAGGACUCAGUCAACCUGACCUGUGUUCCUCCAAAGAGUCUGGUGGCCAUCGUCUGGUUCAAUGAUGGUGAGAUCCUCCUCAGUGGUCGCCAGGGGCUAGGCCUGUCUCCAGACAACAGAAUCCUUACUCUGGAAGUUGUCACCAGGAACGACAGUGACCUUUACCAGUGUGAAGCCAGGAACCCUGAUGUGGCCAGUACCAGAGCCCCAAUCACCCUCAAAGUCAUCUAUGGUCCAGAUAUUCCCAUUGUUACCCCUCCAAACUCUACCUUUGUGGAGGGUUAUGCCCUUACCAUCUCCUGCUUCUCUGACUCCAAUCCUGCUGCUCAGUACACGUGGGAGAUUGAUGGGACACCUGAGCCAUCAACUCAACAUCUCUCCAUCCCUGAUGUCUCUCUGGAUAAUUCAGGUGUGUACACCUGUGAGGCCUCCCACAUCAUCACCCAUCAAAGAAGCACAGCACAGGCAAGGAUCCAGGUGUCGGAAGCUUUCAAUCAAGGCACCAACCAAGCUCUCUAUGGAAAGUCCAUCCCCAGUGGGGCCACUGCAGGAAUUACAAUUGGCAUCCUGGUAGGGGUGGUUUUGACAGGAGCAUUUGGGUACUUUGUUGGUGUCAUGAAGUCCCAGGUCAGUAAUGCUGUGGAAGUCAUCGCAGCAAGUCCCCAACUCAGAUGGCAAGCAAUUUGAUCAGGACCACACAUACAUUAUCAUGUAAAGCCCACUUCCAUAUUGGCACACUCAUGGAAAACCAAAACUCAUCUGAAUCCACGCAACUGAACAGAGAGAGAGUGGCCCCCACUGCCCUGUGACUGCCACAGCUGGGUCGCUGGCCAUUGCCCUUUGUCUGAAGCCAGAGAAGAGCCAAGCCCUUGGAUUCAAGAAGCGGAGAACGGAUGGGUCCAGUUUUUCUAGC
Molecule: RNA transcript, 1823 nt
Organism: Monodelphis domestica (gray short-tailed opossum)
Lineage: Eukaryota; Metazoa; Chordata; Mammalia; Didelphimorphia; Didelphidae
Gene name: cell adhesion molecule CEACAM5-like
Source: RefSeq, a predicted model, not a curated record